This 74-nucleotide transfer RNA is filed under the name Nitrososphaerota archaeon. RNAcentral describes it as "Thaumarchaeota archaeon tRNA-Pro". It matches the Rfam family "tRNA". From Rfam's summary of the family: Transfer RNA (tRNA) molecules are approximately 80 nucleotides in length. Their secondary structure includes four short double-helical elements and three loops (D, anti-codon, and T loops). The record is from RNAcentral. Lineage: Archaea; Thermoproteati; Nitrososphaerota. RNAcentral also lists the same sequence under 1 other name.
GGGGUCGUGGGCUAGCUUGGUAUGCUUCGAGCCUUGGGCGCUCGAGGUCGCCGGUUCAAAUCCGGCCGACCCCA